AGAGAGAGACAUGCGCGCAUAUCAAUAAGCGGAGGAAAAGAAACUAACAAGGAUUCCCCUAGUAACGGCGAGUGAAGCGGGAAGAGCUCAAAUUUGAAAUCUUAAAGGGUUUCCCUUUACGAAUUGUAGUUUAAAGAAGUGUUUUCUGUUGAGGUUUUGGUAAAAGUUCUUUGGAAUAGGACAUCAUAGAGGGUGAGAAUCCCGUAUUUGACCUUUACUUUCAACUUUGUGAUACACUUUCAAAGAGUCGGAUUGUUUGGGAAUGCAGUCCAAAAUGGGUGGUAAAUUUCAUCUAAAGCUAAAUAUUGGCGAGAGACCGAUAGCGAACAAGUACCGUGAGGGAAAGAUGAAAAGAACUUUGAAAAGAGAGUUAAACAGUACGUGAAAUUGUCAAAAGGGAAGCGUUUGACACCAGUGUUGUUUUUCUGAAAAUCAAUUAAAGAACUGUUUAUGCUAAGUUGUUUAGACUUUAUCAGCUAACUGUUUAGUUUUGAGCUUUUCUUUAAUGCACUUUUCAGUUAACAAGUCAACAUCAAUUUCUUUUGCUGUAAAAAAGCUUGAGGAAGGUGGCUUGAGAUUCGUCUUAAGUGUUUAUAGCCUCUUGCCUAUGCAGUCGGAGAGAUUGAGGUCUGCAGGCGUAAAUCCUUCGGGGCUAAAUGCAUUUGUGCUAAGUUAUAGCAUUUUAUAAGACAACUUGUUGACUAUGAUUUGUCUUGUAGCUUACUCGCUUAUGUUAUUUUACCUACGCUUAGGAUGUUGAGCGCAUGUCUCUCUCU
RNAcentral lists this ribosomal RNA (776 nucleotides) under uncultured Neocallimastigales. Its description in RNAcentral is "partial large subunit ribosomal RNA". It matches the Rfam family "Eukaryotic large subunit ribosomal RNA", at positions 23 to 616 of the family's 3401-position model. The record is from RNAcentral. Lineage: Eukaryota; Fungi; Neocallimastigomycota; Neocallimastigomycetes; Neocallimastigales.